UAACUAUCUAGGGCUCGUCAUUUUCGCGCUUCACUGGAGAGGCGGCAGGCUUUCUUGUUAUUUGGGAGCCGGGAAAAUCGAUUUGCAGAAAUGGAUUCGGUCCCGAAGAUUCGAGGUCAAGAAUCUCCUUGUUUAUUGGGAACUUUAUUGAUCCGAUCCAAAAAUUUUCUGGUUCUGAUGAUUUCGGUGGCGAAAUUAGGCUUCUGUUCUUGUUUAUUCGGAACUUUGUCGAUCUGAUCCAAAAGUUUUCUGGUUCCGAUGAUUUCGAAGGCGAAACUAGGCUUCUGUUCUUGUUUUUUAAGGAAAUUUGUGAACACUUGUUCUUCAUGGUGCUGAUGAUGAGAACAUUUCAGGCAUGAGCCGCAGCAAUACGAUUGCGCUCCGUGUAGACGAGAUCUACAUGGGUUGUUGCUGCGAUGAAGAAUGUGCCAAAAUGCUAAUCUGAAGCUUAUUUUUCUUUACUCAUUUUUUUGAAUCGAUUCAUUUUCGUUAAAUUAAAUCUGCAUAGGUUUCAAUUAUUACUGGAUUUUGCAUCAAUUCAUUCUCAUUUUGAACUUCGAUUUUUUUUU
Cucurbita moschata (crookneck pumpkin) is the source of this 569-nucleotide long non-coding RNA. RefSeq lists it as uncharacterized. Lineage: Eukaryota; Viridiplantae; Streptophyta; Magnoliopsida; Cucurbitales; Cucurbitaceae. The record is from RefSeq and is a predicted model, not a curated record. The transcript has 2 exons.